Paramuricea clavata is the source of this 72-nucleotide non-coding RNA. The record is from the annotation of a GenBank genome assembly. NCBI's taxonomy places the organism in Eukaryota, Metazoa, Cnidaria, Anthozoa, Malacalcyonacea, Plexauridae.
UUUCAGAUACCCUUGUAAUCUAUUGCGAGCUAUCCCGAACAGCUCGCAAUAGAAUAUAAGGGUGUCUGAAAU